RNAcentral lists this long non-coding RNA (204 nucleotides) under Elaeis guineensis (African oil palm). RNAcentral's name for it is "long non-coding RNA (EGUI_LNC082327)". The record is from RNAcentral. Lineage: Eukaryota; Viridiplantae; Streptophyta; Magnoliopsida; Arecales; Arecaceae.
GGGCAGUGGAUGAAGAGGUAUUUCCCCUUCCAGUUAUGGAUCGAAGAGGGGGCACCUUUCAGCAACCCCUUCUUGCCGAACUGAGGGGAGAAAUACCACCAGUCCUUCGUCGAAGGAUGACGCUUGAAGGUAUAGAAAUGCCUAAACAGAGAGAGGGACGGCUGGACCUCGACUACGUGGCAAAGGGAGAGAAACCCUAUCAAA